UACAGAGGGUGCAAGCGUUAAUCGGAAUUACUGGGCGUAAAGCGCGCGUAGGUGGUGAUGUAAGACAGUUGUGAAAUCCCCGGGCUCAACCUGGGAACUGCAUCUGUGACUGCAUCGCUGGAGUGCGGCAGAGGGGGAUGGAAUUCCUGGUGUAGCAGUGAAAUGCGUAGAUAUCAGGAGGAACAUCGAUGGCGAAGGCAGCCCCCUGGACCUGUACUGACGCUCAUGCACGAAAGCGUGGGGAGCAAACAGG
RNAcentral lists this ribosomal RNA (253 nucleotides) under uncultured prokaryote. RNAcentral describes it as "partial 16S ribosomal RNA". It matches the Rfam family "Bacterial small subunit ribosomal RNA", at positions 524 to 776 of the family's 1533-position model. The record is from RNAcentral.